RNAcentral lists this ribosomal RNA (592 nucleotides) under Meyerozyma guilliermondii. RNAcentral's name for it is "eukaryotic LSU rRNA". It matches the Rfam family "Eukaryotic large subunit ribosomal RNA", at positions 48 to 656 of the family's 3401-position model. Lineage: Eukaryota; Fungi; Ascomycota; Pichiomycetes; Serinales; Debaryomycetaceae. The record is from RNAcentral.
AAACGGAGGAAAAGAAACCAACAGGGAUUGCCUUAGUAGCGGCGAGUGAAGCGGCAAAAGCUCAAAUUUGAAAUCUGGCGCCUUCGGUGUCCGAGUUGUAAUUUGAAGAUUGUAACCUUGGGGUUGGCUCUUGUCUAUGUUUCUUGGAACAGGACGUCACAGAGGGUGAGAAUCCCGUGCGAUGAGAUGCCCAAUUCUAUGUAAGGUGCUUUCGAAGAGUCGAGUUGUUUGGGAAUGCAGCUCUAAGUGGGUGGUAAAUUCCAUCUAAAGCUAAAUAUUGGCGAGAGACCGAUAGCGAACAAGUACAGUGAUGGAAAGAUGAAAAGAACUUUGAAAAGAGAGUGAAAAAGUACGUGAAAUUGUUGAAAGGGAAGGGUUUGAGAUCAGACUCGAUAUUUUGUGAGCCUUGCCUUCGUGGCGGGGUGACCCGCAGCUUAUCGGGCCAGCAUCGGUUUGGGCGGUAGGAUAAUGGCGUAGGAAUGUGACUUUACUUCGGUGAAGUGUUAUAGCCUGCGUUGAUGCUGCCUGCCUAGACCGAGGACUGCGAUUUUAUCAAGGAUGCUGGCAUAAUGAUCCCAAACCGCCCGUCUUG